This 502-nucleotide ribosomal RNA is filed under the name uncultured bacterium. RNAcentral's name for it is "partial 16S ribosomal RNA". It matches the Rfam family "Bacterial small subunit ribosomal RNA", at positions 30 to 523 of the family's 1533-position model. The record is from RNAcentral.
AUUGAACGCUGGCGGCAGGCUUAACACAUGCAAGUCGAGCGGGGUGAUGGUGCUUGCACUAUCACUUAGCGGCGGACGGGUGAGUAAUGCUUAGGAAUCUGCCUAUUAGUGGGGGACAACAUCUCGAAAGGGAUGCUAAUACCGCAUACGUCCUACGGGAGAAAGCAGGGGAUCACUUGUGACCUUGCGCUAAUAGAUGAGCCUAAGUCGGAUCAGCUAGUUGGUGGGGUAAAGGCCUACCAAGGCGACGAUCUGUAGCGGGUCUGAGAGGAUGAUCCGCCACGCUGGACUGAGACACGGCCCAGACUCCUACGGGAGGCAGCAGUGGGGAAUAUUGGACAAUGGGGGGAACCCUGAUCCAGCCAUGCCGCGUGUGUGAAGAAGGCCUUAUGGUUGUAAAGCACUUUAAGCGAGGAGGAGGCUCUUUUGGUUAAUACCCAAGAUGAGUGGACGUUACUCGCAGAAUAAGCACCGGCUAACUCUGUGCCAGCCGCCGCAGUAA